This 751-nucleotide unclassified non-coding RNA is filed under the name Hevea brasiliensis (rubber tree). The record is from RNAcentral. Lineage: Eukaryota; Viridiplantae; Streptophyta; Magnoliopsida; Malpighiales; Euphorbiaceae.
UUUCACAAAAAUUGCAUUUAUCGGAAGAAAGGUAAGUGUGUUUUUUAUGUUUGAAUUUUACAUAGUGAAUCUGGAAAAAGCUGAUUCCAAUCCACAAACAAAUACACUAUACUCACAGAUUCCAUCCUCUUUGCCAAGCAUUACAACAAAAAGAAUUUGAAGAAUGAUUAUAACACCCCAAACAAAUAAAGACUGAAACGGAAUAUCAUCAAAGUGAUACAACAAAGGCUUCCAAAUACAAUUUAUCUUCAGCAACAGAGGGGACAGAUUAUUAGACCAUUUUCAUUACAAUCCUGGCAUUUCCUUGACAUUCCGUCAUCUUCAACAAUCCUAUGGCUUCCACUGCAAUUGAAACAAACCACAAAUUUGAAACCUGCACAUCCUUCACAGGGCCCUGUAGAUUUAUCUAUUGGAACUCCUUCAAAAAGUACUCUAAACUUUCCUUGUUCAUGUAACCUCAAAACCUCCUCUGCACCACCUAUGUAUCUUCCCCUAAUGAAAAGUCUUGGGGGCUUUACUUUACCUUCCAAAACUCUCCAUAGCUCCUCCUUAAAUUCCAUGUGCAUUGACACAUCUCUCUCGCAGAAGAUCACCCGGAAACUCUCUAAAAGAAAGCGAAUGCUGUUGCAUUCCUCGAAAGUUUUUCGUAUUCCUCUAAGCGUUGUUGUGUAGAGAAUUACAGAGUCACUAUCUCCUGGAGGGCACUUCUCUUCAAAGCUUAAUAAAGGGUUUUCUUCUUCUUCUUCUUCUU